RNAcentral lists this ribosomal RNA (492 nucleotides) under uncultured bacterium. RNAcentral describes it as "partial 16S ribosomal RNA". It matches the Rfam family "Bacterial small subunit ribosomal RNA", at positions 29 to 507 of the family's 1533-position model. The record is from RNAcentral.
AGUGAACGCUGGCGGUAGGCCUAACACAUGCAAGUCGAACGGCAGCACAGUAAGAGCUUGCUCUUACGGGUGGCGAGUGGCGGACGGGUGAGGAAUACAUCGGAAUCUACUUUUUCGUGGGGGAUAACGUAGGGAAACUUACGCUAAUACCGCAUACGACCUACGGGUGAAAGCAGGGGAUCUUCGGACCUUGCGCGAUUGAAUGAGCCGAUGUCGGAUUAGCUAGUUGGCGGGGUAAAGGCCCACCAAGGCGACGAUCCGUAGCUGGUCUGAGAGGAUGAUCCGCCACACUGGAACUGGAGCACGGUCCAGACUCCUACGGGAGGCAGCAGUGGGGAAUAUUUGACAAUGGGGGGAAACCUGAUCCAGCCAUACCGCGGGGGUGAAGAAGGCCUUCGGGUUGGAAAGGCCUUUUUUUGGGAAAGAAAAGCAGCAGGUUAAUACCCCGCUGUUCUGACGGUACCCAAAGAAUAAGCACCGGCUAACUUCGUG